RNAcentral lists this ribosomal RNA (57 nucleotides) under Pollostacris sp. OR322. Its description in RNAcentral is "partial 16S ribosomal RNA". The record is from RNAcentral. Lineage: Eukaryota; Metazoa; Arthropoda; Insecta; Orthoptera; Acrididae.
UUAUUUUAUUUUUUAUAUUAUUUUUGUUUUUUUUCAUUUUUUAAUAAAAAUAAUUUU